Molecule: ribosomal RNA, 732 nt
Filed under: Triticum aestivum (bread wheat)
Lineage: Eukaryota; Viridiplantae; Streptophyta; Magnoliopsida; Poales; Poaceae
Description: partial small subunit ribosomal RNA
Source: RNAcentral
AUGGACUCAAUUCUUUCUAAUGGAACUUGGGAACUAACUGAUAGACCAUAUGGUUGUAAACCUGUGGGCUGUAAGUGGGUGUUCAAAAAGAAGCUAAAGCCUGAUGGAUUUGUCAUUAACGAGGCUAAUAGGUGUGUUUACUAUCGCCAUGGUGGGGGCAAUAGUGUCAUAUUAUGUUUGUAUGUGGACGACAUAUUGAUCUUUGGUACAAACAUUAAUGCAAUUAAUGAGGUCAAGUCUUUUCUAUCAAAAAGUUUUGACAUGAAAGAUCUGGGAGAAGCCGAUGUAAUUCUAAACAUCAAACUUAUUAAGGAUGAGAGUGGGAUUACAUUAACGCAAUCUCACUAUGUUGAGAAGGUCUUGAACCGAUUCGGUUUUAUGGAUAGUACUAUGAGUUACGGAAUUACUUAUUCAGGGCAUCCUGCUGUGCUAGAAGGAUAUAGUGAUUCAAAUUGGAUCUCCGAUGUUGAUGUACUUUACGCAACAAGUGGGUAUGUAUUUACUCAUGGUGGUGGCGCAGUGUCAUGGAGGUCUUGUAAGCAAACCAUAUUGACGAGGUCAACUAUGGAAGCAGAAUUAACUGCUUUGGACACAGCUACUGUUGAGGCAGAAUGGCUGCGUGAGCUCUUGAUGGACUUGCCGGUUAUUGAAAAACCUGUACCGGCUAUUCUUAUGAAUUGUGAUAACCAAACGGUUAUCGCUAAAGUGAACAAAAUAAAGAUAAUGCAAAGU